Molecule: RNA transcript, 1732 nt
Organism: Alnus glutinosa
Lineage: Eukaryota; Viridiplantae; Streptophyta; Magnoliopsida; Fagales; Betulaceae
Gene name: oxoglutarate-dependent flavonoid 7-O-demethylase 1-like
Exons: 6
Source: RefSeq, a predicted model, not a curated record
UUGGAGUUUAUUUGGGAAAUGGCUGUGGCACCAAAGAGCCUUGAAUGGUCUGUACGUACCUGUUCCCAGUGUUCAAGAGCUAGUGAUCCAAGGGCUACAAACUGUGCCACCUAGAUACGUAAGAGAUGACAUGGACAUCAUCAUCCACCGCUCCCUCCGAUCCUUCUCUUCGUGUACCCUUGAUAGAUAUGACCAAGCUGGUCAACCCCAGACUCCCAAGAACAAGAGAUUCAAAGGCUUCAGUACUCUGCAUGCAUGCAAAGAAUAUUGGGGUGUCUUUCAGCCGAGUUGAUAGCUUUGAAAUUUCCCUUGUCCCCCCACAAUGAGGACAAGUGUGGUGCCCACCUGCUUAAGGCAAUCCGGUAGGCCAUGAUAAUAAACCAUGGAGUUCCUGAUGAAUCGCUAAGCAACAUGAAAGAGCAAGUUCAAGCUAGGUUUUUUUGACCUUCCACUACAAGAGAAGAAACGCUGGGCGCAAAAACCUGGAAGUCUUGAAGGUUAUGGCCAGGUGUUUGUAAUUUCAGAGGAACAAAAGCUAGAGUGGAAUGACAUGAUCUUCCUCAAAAGUAUUCGUCCCCUUCAAGACAGAAAUUUGAAUUUCUGGCCAGAAAACCCCCCGGAAUUCAGGAAAGCAUUGGAGACUUAUUCUGAAGAUAUGACUAGGCUUGCGGUUUCUAUUAUAAGGUUCAUAGCAAUGGGACUUGGUCUAGAAGCUCAACAGUACGCUGAAAGUUACAGAGAAGGAUUUUACGAUAUGAGGAUAACUUGCUAUCCUCCUUGUCCCGAACCUGAGAGAGUUUCUGGGCUUAGUCCACACACCGACAUCAAUGGGAUAACUCUCUUACUUGAUUGUGGCGACAUGGCAGCACUGCAGGUUCUCAAAGAUGGCCAUUGGAUAAUGAGCAAUGGGAUUUACAAAGCUGCAGAUCACAGAGAAGUGGCGAACAAAUCAAAGCAAAGGCUGUCAAUAGCUACCUUCUGCAACCCCAACUCGUCCGUCGAUAUUGGACCAGCUGAGAAGCUCAUCAAGUCAGGAAGCCCACCUCUAUUCAGAACCCUUAAAAGUGAAGAGUAUCUUCAGCGCUAUUUCAAUCGGAAGCUUGAGGAUUCAUUCAUUGAUAGCUUGAAAAUCUAGUGUGACGCAGAUUGGUUUACAAGCAGACCCCAGUCGGAGGAAAAUAAAAAUAAAAAUCAUAUCUGUCCAACAUCGAUCAGAGAUGGCGUCAAAGUUGUUUUGAUUUAAGGCUCUAUAUAAACCUAAUGACGAUGGCCUUCCUUAUCCGCCAACUAUAUAUGUUGUAUUAUGGAAGAGUAGUGGUUCUUGUGAUUAUUUUUGUCAUUACGAUCCAUUAUACCAUGCAUCAUCUGUUGGUAUCAUAGCCCAAUUACUUUCCUGCCAUGGCGUGAACGUAAAGUGGGUGCAAAGAAGGAAAUGCGCGCAUAUGUAAGCCUUGGGGUUGUGGACAGGUGUACGUACGUGAAGAAGCAACACGUGAGAAACAACUGACGAUAUGGUUGCAAUGCAUGGAGGAGUAGUUUGAGCGGAUUGAUGAUCGAUUUGAGCAAUUUGAAGAACAAGUUGGUGCAUAAAUCAGAGCACUGUCCAAGCAAAUUUGUCAUAAUGGGUUUUGCUAAUUGUUGUCGCCAUCAACCGAAUUUGCGUUCUAUGGAUGAGGAUGAUGGUUUUAUCAAUAAAGAUGUAACAAGUUUAUUCAAUUGUUACUGAUUUCUA